RNAcentral lists this transfer RNA (72 nucleotides) under Dendronephthya gigantea. RNAcentral describes it as "tRNA-Gly". It matches the Rfam family "tRNA". Rfam says of the family: Transfer RNA (tRNA) molecules are approximately 80 nucleotides in length. Their secondary structure includes four short double-helical elements and three loops (D, anti-codon, and T loops). Further hydrogen bonds mediate the characteristic L-shaped molecular structure. tRNAs have two regions of fundamental functional importance: the anti-codon, which is responsible for specific mRNA codon recognition, and the 3' end, to which the tRNAs corresponding amino acid is attached (by aminoacyl-tRNA synthetases). tRNAs cope with the degeneracy of the genetic code in two manners: having more than one tRNA (with a specific anti-codon) for a particular amino acid; and 'wobble' base-pairing, i.e. permitting non-standard base-pairing at the 3rd anti-codon position. The record is from RNAcentral. Lineage: Eukaryota; Metazoa; Cnidaria; Anthozoa; Malacalcyonacea; Nephtheidae.
GCGUUCAUGGUGUAAUGGUUAGCAUUGUUGCCUUCCAAGCAAUAGAUCUGGGUUCGAUUCCCGGUCAACGCA